Molecule: transfer RNA, 77 nt
Filed under: Gammaproteobacteria bacterium
Lineage: Bacteria; Pseudomonadati; Pseudomonadota; Gammaproteobacteria
Also listed under: 1 other name
Description: tRNA-Met
Rfam family: tRNA
About the family: Transfer RNA (tRNA) molecules are approximately 80 nucleotides in length. Their secondary structure includes four short double-helical elements and three loops (D, anti-codon, and T loops).
Source: RNAcentral
GGCAAGGUAGCUCAGUUGGUUAGAGCACCGCACUCAUAAUGCGGGGGUCGGCGGUUCAAAUCCGCCCCUUGCUACCA